AGUCAGUAACGCCCGAAGUCAGUGACCCAACCAUAACCGGAGGGAGCUGCCGAAGGUGGGACCAUAACUGGGGUGAAGUCGUAACAAGGUAGC
This 93-nucleotide ribosomal RNA is filed under the name uncultured bacterium. Its description in RNAcentral is "partial 16S ribosomal RNA". The record is from RNAcentral.